ACCAAAAAGAAAUGAAAAUGUGUUGCUUAGGAAGUAUUCUAAUGAACUGUUCUUCAUUCUUUUGGCAGUUACUGUUGUUGUUUUUGAAGAGGUGCCUUGGCAGGAGUGGUGGCUCAGAACCUGUGAUUUUAUCUGGAUAGGGGACCAGUACUUUUGGUGUGAAAAUUCCCUCUACCAUUCUGUACUGCAUCUUCAAGUGAAAAUUUUUCUCAGAAGAGGAGGAAAAAGUGGUAAAAGACCAGAAUUUCAACAAACCAACCCCAAGUUCUCCUAAACAAUUUGUGGAUUUUGAGGCAUGUGGGAAUAGAUCUUCUCUAGACAGAUAUCCUCCAGGACUGGAGCAAACACUACUGGUGAUCAUACAUCUUCCUAUUUUAUACUUUGCCUAAUAAAUUUAAAAGAGUAUCAUCA
Molecule: long non-coding RNA, 411 nt
Filed under: Monodelphis domestica (gray short-tailed opossum)
Lineage: Eukaryota; Metazoa; Chordata; Mammalia; Didelphimorphia; Didelphidae
Description: lncRNA (ENSMODG00000048921.1)
Source: RNAcentral